RNAcentral lists this ribosomal RNA (497 nucleotides) under uncultured bacterium. Its description in RNAcentral is "partial 16S ribosomal RNA". It matches the Rfam family "Bacterial small subunit ribosomal RNA", at positions 28 to 507 of the family's 1533-position model. The record is from RNAcentral.
GAUGAACGCUGGCGGCGUGCCUAAUACAUGCAAGUCGAGCGAACGGACGAGAAGCUUGCUUCUCUGAUGUUAGCGGCGGACGGGUGAGUAACACGUGGAUAACCUACCUAUAAGACUGGGAUAACUUCGGGAAACCGUAGCUAAUACCGGAUAAUAUUUUGAACCGCAUGGUUCAAAAGUGAAAGACGGUCUUGCUGUCACUUAUAGAUGGAUCCGCGCUGCAUUAGCUAGUUGGUAAGGUAACGGCUUACCAAGGCAACGAUGCAUAGCCGACCUGAGAGGGUGAUCGGCCACACUGGAACUGAGACACGGUCCAGACUCCUACGGGAGGCAGCAGUAGGGAAUCUUCCGCAAUGGGCGAAAGCCUGACGGAGCAACGCCGCGUGAGUGAUGAAGGUCUUCGGAUCGUAAAGCUCUGUUAUUAGGGAAGAACAUAUGUGUAAGUAACUGUGCACAGCGUGACGGUACCUAAUCAGAAAGCCACGGUUAACUACGUG